UUUUAGGUAGGGGGAAAUUAACGUCGGCGAAAGUCGGGCUAAUACCGCAUGUGAUCCUUCGGGAUUAAAGCCUUCGGGCGCUAAAGGAGGGGCCUGCGUCUGAUUAGCUUGUUGGUAAGGUAAUGGCUUACCAAGGCGAUGAUCAGUAGCUGGUUCGAGAGGAUGAUCAGCCACACUGGAACUGAGAUACGGUCCAGACUCCUACGGGAGGCAGCAGUAAGGAACCUUCCGCAAUGGACGAAAGUCUGACGGAGCAACGCCGCGUGCAGGAUGAAGGCUUUCGGGUCGUAAACUGCUUUUGUAUGGGAAGAUUAUGACGGUACCAUACGAAUAAGGACCGGCUAACUACGUG
Molecule: ribosomal RNA, 352 nt
Filed under: uncultured bacterium
Lineage: Bacteria
Description: bacterial SSU rRNA
Rfam family: Bacterial small subunit ribosomal RNA
Source: RNAcentral